AACGAACGCUGGCGGCAUGCCUAACACAUGCAAGUCGAACGAGAUCUUCGGGUCUAGUGGCGCACGGGUGCGCAACGCGUGGGAAUCUGCCCUUUGGUUCGGAAUAACAGUUGGAAACGACUGCUAAUACCGGAUGAUGACGAAAGUCCAAAGAUUUAUCGCCAGAGGAUGAGCCCGCGUAGGAUUAGCUAGUUGGUGUGGUAAAGGCGCACCAAGGCGACGAUCCUUAGCUGGUCUGAGAGGAUGAUCAGCCACACCGGGACUGAGACACGGCCCAGACUCCUACGGGAGGCAGCAGUGGGGAAUAUUGGACAAUGGGCGAAAGCCUGAUCCAGCAAUGCCGCGUGAGUGAUGAAGGCCUUAGGGUUGUAAAGCUCUUUUACCCGGGAUGAUAAUGACAGUACCGGGGGAAUAAGCUCCGGCUAACUCCGUGCCAGCCGCCGCAGUAA
Molecule: ribosomal RNA, 449 nt
Filed under: uncultured bacterium
Lineage: Bacteria
Description: partial 16S ribosomal RNA
Rfam family: Bacterial small subunit ribosomal RNA
Source: RNAcentral